This 497-nucleotide ribosomal RNA is filed under the name uncultured bacterium. RNAcentral describes it as "partial 16S ribosomal RNA". It matches the Rfam family "Bacterial small subunit ribosomal RNA", at positions 28 to 507 of the family's 1533-position model. The record is from RNAcentral.
GAUGAACGCUGGCGGCGUGCCUAAUACAUGCAAGUCGAGCGAACGGACGAGAAGCUUGCUUCUCUGAUGUUAGCGGCGGACGGGUGAGUAACACGUGGAUAACCUACCUAUAAGACUGGGAUAACUUCGGGAAACCGGAGCUAAUACCGGAUGAUAUUUUGAACCGCAUGGUUCAAAAGUGAAAGACGGUCUUGCUGUCACUUAUAGAUGUAUCCGCGCUGCAUUAGCUAGUUGGUAAGGUAACGGCUUACCAAGGCAACGAUGCAUAGCCGACCUGAGAGGGUGAUCGGCCACACUGGAACUGAGACACGGUCAAGACUCCUACGGGAGGCAGCAGUAGGGAAUCUUCCGCAAUGGGCGAAAGCCUGACGGAGCAACGCCGCGUGAGUGAUGAAGGUCUUCGGAUCGUAAAACUCUGUUAUUAGGGAAGAACAUAUGUGUAAGUAACUGUGCACAUCUUGACGGUACCUAAUCAGAAAGCCACGGCUAACUACGUG